Molecule: long non-coding RNA, 2784 nt
Organism: Podarcis muralis (Common wall lizard)
Lineage: Eukaryota; Metazoa; Chordata; Lepidosauria; Squamata; Lacertidae
Source: RefSeq, a predicted model, not a curated record
UUCGUGCCGGCGAUGUGUUGUGUUUUUUUAUUCGUAUUAUUCUUAUUUCCAAACCAGAAAACAAAAACCCGAGAAAUCCCUUAUUUAUAUGGCAUUUCCACGCACGGGGGGCGGGAGGGGUGUUUGCGAGGAGCCUCCCCCAUCUCUCCCUUUUCCCUUUUCGCAUCUGAGAGAGAGAGAAGGAGAGAGAGAGAAGGAGAGACACAGAGAGAGAGAGAGCGAAGGAAGGAAGGAAGGAAGGAAGGGCGCGCGCACAUACCUUCAUCUCUUCAUUGAUUUCCCUUUUCACGGGGAGAGAGAGAGAGAGAGAGACAAGUAGGGGCGCGCGCCCGCCAGCCAGCGGCCCCGGAGCAAGCGGCCAGGAUGGAUGGAGGAUGCUGCGCGCGCGAUACUGGCUUGGCCAGCUGCCCGGCUGCCCGCCCGCCUGCCUGCGUCUCUCUCUCUGCAGCGCGAUUUCACCUUUAGGGAAGACGGUGAUGAAGAAGAAGAAAUACACCCAUCACCAAUAAAAUAAAAUAAAAAGACGUCGCGCAGAGAAGCUGCCUGCCCACGCCACUCGGAGAGCAACGCAUCUGCCGUCGCCCUGAAAGCACUCCCGCUGGGGCGGAGUUUGACGUUUCCAUGGGUGGGCGGCUGUUGGCGAGGGGCUCAGCCGCAGAAGCCGCUCUAGCAUCCGAGAAGCAGAGGCAUUCGCGCAGAAGGAGAGGCUUUUGUUGUGCGUGGUUUUGGCGGGAGGAAGGCUUACGCACGCCCAGGCUGGGAACGGCCCUUCCAAAAAAGAGAAGAAAAAGGCACUAGUCCUCAGGAAAAGGGGCGUUUGUCCCAGAAGCAAGAGGAGGGCUGGGCUCCCCCCCCCCCCGCCAUUCCUUCCUAGGGAUUAAUGCGAGCCAUCAAGGCUUUGGCCCAGAGCCCCUUCCCUCCAGUGCCAACACAGUCAGGUCGAGAGCGUGUUCUUGAAUGAUAAGGCAGAGUGCCUUUGCCUGCCCCACCGCUCUCACCACAACCAGACCCCCCCCCGUCAGAAGCACGUGUCCGAAACCAGGGGGUCACACCUAUCCGUGCCUGAUAAUAAUUGAUGAUGAAGAAGAAGUAAUAACUAUCAUGGACACGGUAAAUGCCUCCUCUUUCUCUUCUGUGUGGACAGCCCUUUGUCUCAUAAACAUCAUUACCUCCUUCCCACCGCUAGCUUGAAAGCAGCCCCCAAAUAAUUCGGCUUUGCCCCCAAUCGUUCUACAAAGGCAGGGCUAACUGGUCCCAGUCGUUAGUUUGGAAAGUAACCUGGAAAUUAAAUACCCACUCCAUUAGCAGCGCCCCCUUCCCUCUUUCCCCUUCCUCACGUCGCACGUUUUGAUCUUCUAUAGAUCCAGGUAACUCUCCCCCCCCCCCGAAGCAGACGCACUCUGUCAUUUUAAAAGGCUUUGCUUACAUCUAUUUUGUUUCCGUCUUUAUAAGCGUGGAGAGGAAGGUGGGGGGUGAUGUGUGGUGCUGAUGAUAGGGUGAACUUGCAAAACGAAGCUCUGAAUUAUUGCACACAGUGAAGGGGGAUACCUUGAUUAUUCCCGGUUCGUGCUUUCCUACACUUUGGCAGUUCAUAAUUACCUGAUACAAUACAAUAUGGGGGUGUCCAUUGUUCCAUUAGUCAAAAUUGUAAUUGUGAAGGAAUUUGUCAUUAUGACUGCAGCUGAGCUUAAAAUUAUAUCCCUUUUUUCUUAAAUAAAAAAACUUCAAAAAAAAUUAAAGACAGAAUGCGUUCAGUGUAGCUAUGAAGAGGCUCUCUUUUAAAAAACAACAACAACAACCCCCUUUCGCCUGUCAAAUCUAGCUAAGAUCGUUUUAUACCUUACAAUGUCUGAUUUGCAUUUCUGUUUAAGUUUAGACAUGAGCUAAAAAAAGAAGGGUUUUUUGCUGGAUUCCUGACUAGAAUGUGCCACAUUUGACUCUGCUAAGACAGCAAGGUAGAAGUACUUCAGCAAAAAUAGAGUUCUGAAAGACAUUUAUGGCAGAAGGCAUCAAAUCUCUUAUUCCAGAGAAUCUCACUGAAGUCCAGUGGAAUUUGCUAGGAUGUACUCUGAAAGUUGGAUGGGGAUUCAUCUGAGAAAAGCCUUAAAUCCCUGCUGGUCUGAAAAGCAAACAAGCGAGUUCCAUAGACUGCAAUGUAACUUGUUUCCAAAUGUGCAGGGAGAUUGCCAGUGACACUCAGUUAAUCGUUGUAUUCAGCUUUUAAUCUGUAAAAUGUUUUACAGCCAUUUUAAUAGUAGCAAUGAGAAAUUGUAUUUUAGAGCAUUUCAUAUUGACCACUAUAAUCCUUACUGCCUUCACCCCAUAUAAAAAUCCACCAGUGAUACAGGUCACUGUUAUUAUCUCUAUAACAGAGUGGUGGGACAGUAGAUUGUAUGGGGCAACCACCUACUCAGUUCAUGACAGAGGUGAUAUCUGGACUAUGAGAUUCCUGGUUCAAGUUUUUGAACUGUGAGAACAGGAUGCUGGAUUAGAUGGAGCUUUGGCCUGAUCAAGCAGACUUUUCUUGUGUUCUUAGCCAUUACAUUGCAGGAACUCUCAACAGCCUCAUCUUUAUUGCAUUUUGACCCUAGUACAAAUAUGAGGCUGGGCAAUAAAUAGGGUAUUGUCCAGGUCCACGUAAUAAGCCUACAGUAGAAGUAGAACUUGCAUUCAGGGUUCACAAUCCUCACCCACCUGAACACUGGUUCAUAGUACCGUAUUUUUCACCGCAUAGGGCGCACCGGCCCAUAGGGUGCACCUAGUUUUUUUGGGGGGGAAAUAAAG